GCCUCCGUGAAGUUGGAUUCGCUAGUAAUCGCGCAUCAGCCAUGGCGCGGUGAAUACGUUCCCGGGCCUUGUACACACCGCCCGUCAAGCCAUGGAAGCUGGGGGUGCCUGAAGUUCAUGACCGCAAGGAGCGACCUAGGGCAAAACCGGUGACUGGGGCUAAGUCGUAACAAGGUAAC
Molecule: ribosomal RNA, 179 nt
Filed under: uncultured bacterium
Lineage: Bacteria
Description: partial 16S ribosomal RNA
Rfam family: Bacterial small subunit ribosomal RNA
Source: RNAcentral